This 564-nucleotide ribosomal RNA is filed under the name uncultured Glomeromycotina. RNAcentral's name for it is "SSU rRNA". It matches the Rfam family "Eukaryotic small subunit ribosomal RNA", at positions 548 to 1114 of the family's 1831-position model. Lineage: Eukaryota; Fungi; Glomeromycota. The record is from RNAcentral.
UUGGAGGGCAAGUCUGGUGCCAGCAGCCGCGGUAAUUCCAGCUCCAAUAGCGUAUAUUAAAGUUGUUGCAGUUAAAAAGCUCGUAGUUGAACUUCGGGGUCUACCCAUUGGUCAGGCUUAAUUGUCUGCACUGGUGAGAUGGAUCUCUACCUUCUGAGGAACUUUCAUGCCAUUUAUUUGGUGUGAUGGGAAAUCAGGACUGUUACUUUGAAAAAAUUAGAGUGUUUAAAGCAGACUAUCGUCUGAAUACAUUAGCAUGGAAUAAUGAAAUAGGACGGACUGAUUCUAUUUCGUUGGUUUCUAGGAUCACCGUAAUGAUUAAUAGGGAUAGUUGGGGGCAUUAGUAUUCAAUUGUCAGAGGUGAAAUUCUUGGAUUUAUUGAAGACUAACUACUGCGAAAGCAUUUGCCAAGGAUGUUUUCAUUAAUCAAGAACGAAAGUUAGGGGAUCGAAGACGAUCAGAUACCGUCGUAGUCUUAACCAUAAACUAUGCCGACUAGGAAUCGGGCGAUGUUGACAAAAUGACUCGCUCGGCACCUCAUGGGAAACCAAAGUGUUUGGGUUC